GGCUGGUCCGAAGGUAGUAAGUUAUCUCAAUUGAUUGUUCACAGUCAGUUACAGAUUGAACUCCUUGUUCUACUCUUUCCCCCCUUCUCACUACUGCACUUGACUAGUCUUUA
RNAcentral lists this Y RNA (113 nucleotides) under Saimiri boliviensis boliviensis (Bolivian squirrel monkey). RNAcentral's name for it is "Y RNA (ENSSBOG00000000467.1)". It matches the Rfam family "Y RNA". From Rfam's summary of the family: Y RNAs are components of the Ro ribonucleoprotein particle (Ro RNP), in association with Ro60 and La proteins. The Y RNAs and Ro60 and La proteins are well conserved, but the function of the Ro RNP is not known. The record is from Rfam by way of RNAcentral. Lineage: Eukaryota; Metazoa; Chordata; Mammalia; Primates; Cebidae.